Molecule: ribosomal RNA, 499 nt
Filed under: uncultured bacterium
Lineage: Bacteria
Description: bacterial SSU rRNA
Rfam family: Bacterial small subunit ribosomal RNA
Source: RNAcentral
GGCUAACGCUGGCGGCGUGUCUUAGCCAUGCAAGUCGAGCGGACUUAUGGGGUAACUUAUAAGUCAGCGGCGGACGGCGGAGUAACACGUAGCUAACCUACCCUCUGGACGGGGAUAACCUACCGAAAGGUGGGCUAAUACCCGAUGUAGUCAUCCUGUAUAGGGGUGAUGAAAGGUGGGCUUCUGUUUACAAGCUCAUGCUGGAGGAGGGGGCUGCGGCCUAUCAGGUAGUUGGUAGGGUAAUAGCCUACCAAGCCGAUGACGGGUAGCCGGCCUGAGAGGGUGACCGGCCCGGAGGGGCACUGAGAUACGGGUCCCACUCCUACGGGAGGCAGCAGGCUAGAAAUUUGGGCAAUGGGGGAAACCCUGACCCAGUGACGCCGCGUGCAGGAAGGAGCCCUUCGGGGUGUAAACUGCUGUCGUGUAGGGAGAAGGGUACUAAGGUGAACAAUCUUAGUACUUGACGGUACUACAGGAGGAAGCCCAGGCUAACCUCGUG